This 583-nucleotide ribosomal RNA is filed under the name Clostridioides difficile. Its description in RNAcentral is "bacterial SSU rRNA". It matches the Rfam family "Bacterial small subunit ribosomal RNA", at positions 221 to 822 of the family's 1533-position model. The record is from RNAcentral. Lineage: Bacteria; Bacillati; Bacillota; Clostridia; Peptostreptococcales; Peptostreptococcaceae.
CAGGAUGGACCCGCGUCUGAUUAGCUAGUUGGUAAGGUAACGGCUUACCAAGGCGACGAUCAGUAGCCGACCUGAGAGGGUGAUCGGCCACAUUGGAACUGAGACACGGUCCAAACUCCUACGGGAGGCAGCAGUGGGGAAUAUUGCACAAUGGGCGAAAGCCUGAUGCAGCAACGCCGCGUGAGUGAUGAAGGCCUUCGGGUCGUAAAACUCUGUCCUCAAGGAAGAUAAUGACGGUACUUGAGGAGGAAGCCCCGGCUAACUACGUGCCAGCAGCCGCGGUAAUACGUAGGGGGCUAGCGUUAUCCGGAUUUACUGGGCGUAAAGGGUGCGUAGGCGGUCUUUCAAGUCAGGAGUGAAAGGCUACGGCUCAACCGUAGUAAGCUCUUGAAACUGGGAGACUUGAGUGCAGGAGAGGAGAGUGGAAUUCCUAGUGUAGCGGUGAAAUGCGUAGAUAUUAGGAGGAACACCAGUUGCGAAGGCGGCUCUCUGGACUGUAACUGACGCUGAGGCACGAAAGCGUGGGGAGCAAACAGGAUUAGAUACCCUGGUAGUCCACGCUGUAAACGAUGAGUACUAGGUG